AUUGAACGCUGGCGGCAGGCCUAACACAUGCAAGUCGAGCGGAUGAAGGGAGCUUGCUCCUGGAUUCAGCGGCGGACGGGUGAGUAAUGCCUAGGAAUCUGCCUUGUCGUGGGGGAUAACGUCCGUAAACGGGCGCUAAUACCGCAUACGUCCUGAGGGAGAAAGUGGGGGAUCUUCGGACCUCACGCUAUCAGCUGAGCCUAGGUCGGAUUAGCUAGUUGGUGGGGUAAAGGCCUACCAAGGCGACGAUCCGUAACUGGUCUGAGAGGAUGAUCAGUCACACUGGAACUGAGACACGGUCCAGACUCCUACGGGAGGCAGCAGUGGGGAAUAUUGGGCAAUGGGCGAAAGCCUGAUCCAGCAAUGCCGCGUGUGUGAAGAAGGUCUUCGGAUUGUAAAGCACUUUAAGUUGGGAGGAAGGGCAGUAAGUUAAUACCUUGCUGUUUUGACGUUACCAACAGAAUAAGCACCGGCUAACUUCGUG
Molecule: ribosomal RNA, 484 nt
Filed under: uncultured bacterium
Lineage: Bacteria
Description: partial 16S ribosomal RNA
Rfam family: Bacterial small subunit ribosomal RNA
Source: RNAcentral